This 253-nucleotide ribosomal RNA is filed under the name uncultured bacterium. Its description in RNAcentral is "partial 16S ribosomal RNA". It matches the Rfam family "Bacterial small subunit ribosomal RNA", at positions 524 to 776 of the family's 1533-position model. The record is from RNAcentral.
UACGAAGGGGGCUAGCGUUGUUCGGAAUUACUGGGCGUAAAGCGCACGUAGGCGGAAUGUUAAGUCAGGGGUGAAAUCCUGGAGCUCAACUCCAGAACUGCCUUUGAUACUGGGGAUCUCGAGUCCGGAAGAGGUGAGUGGAACUCCGAGUGUAGAGGUGAAAUUCGUAGAUAUUCGGAAGAACACCAGUGGCGAAGGCGGCUCACUGGUCCGGUACUGACGCUGAGGUGCGAAAGCGUGGGGAGCAAACAGG